GCCUGGGUGGCUCAGUCGGUUGAGCGUCUGACUUCAGCUCAGGUCAUGAUCUCACAGCUGUGUGAGUUCGAGCCCUGCGUCAGGCU
RNAcentral lists this transfer RNA (86 nucleotides) under Felis catus (domestic cat). It matches the Rfam family "tRNA". From Rfam's summary of the family: Transfer RNA (tRNA) molecules are approximately 80 nucleotides in length. The record is from Rfam by way of RNAcentral. RNAcentral also lists the same sequence under 1 other name. Lineage: Eukaryota; Metazoa; Chordata; Mammalia; Carnivora; Felidae.